AACGAACGCUGGCGGCAGGCCUAACACAUGCAAGUCGAACGGGAUCUUCGGAUCUAGUGGCGGACGGGUGAGUAACGCGUGGGAACGUACCCUUUGGUUGGGAAUAGCACCGGGAAACUGGGAGUAAUACCGGAUAAGCUCUAUGGAGGAAAGAUUCAUCGCCAAAGGAUCGGCCCGGGUUGGAUUAGGUAGUUGGUGAGGUAAUGGUUCACCAAGCCGACGAUACAUAGAUGGUUUGAGAGGAUGAUCAGCCACACUGGCCCUGAGACACGGCCCAGACUGCUACGGGAGGCAGCAGUGGGGAGUCCUAGACAAUGGGGGAAACCCUGAUCUAGCCAAGCCGCGUGAUCGAUGAAGGCCUUAGGGUUGUAAAGAUCUUUCAGUGGGGAAGAUAAUGACUGUACCCACAGAAGAGGCCCCGGCUAACUCCGUGCCAGCAGCCGCGGUAA
RNAcentral lists this ribosomal RNA (449 nucleotides) under uncultured bacterium. Its description in RNAcentral is "partial 16S ribosomal RNA". It matches the Rfam family "Bacterial small subunit ribosomal RNA", at positions 29 to 523 of the family's 1533-position model. The record is from RNAcentral.